Labrus mixtus (cuckoo wrasse) is the source of this 1179-nucleotide long non-coding RNA. RefSeq lists it as uncharacterized. The record is from RefSeq and is a predicted model, not a curated record. Lineage: Eukaryota; Metazoa; Chordata; Actinopteri; Labriformes; Labridae. The transcript is spliced from 2 exons.
GCUCUGGCUGUGAUCCUGUUUCUCUGUGUAUCCCUGGUUCUUUUGUGUCUCCUCCCCCUCUGUCUGUGUGUGUGUGUGUGUGUGUGUGUGUGUGUGUGUGUGUGUGUGUGUGUGUGUGUGUGUGUGUGUGUGUGUGUGUGUGUGUGUGUGUGUGUGUGUGUGUCUGUGUGUGUGUGUCUCUGGAGGGUGUGGCUUCAAUCAAACACCUGGUGACUACUCACACCUGCAACUCAUCUUCUCAUCUGCCUCAGGCCAAGACCCUGGUUUCAACUCGGCUCAUGGCCAGAUUAUUGAGUCUACUGAAGCGAUUUUCACCGGUGUCAUCUCCUCCAGCCUGCUUCAUCGUCAGACAACUCAACCAAUUACCUGCCUGCCUACGGAACCAGAUAAACUCCAUAAGUCUCCUCCAUGCAGUCACUACCAGCCAGCCAUCCACCUAUACCAAGCCCUGUAAUAAAACCUCAAACCCUUCAAUUUCGCUGCUGUGUCUGCUUUUGGGUCUAAAUACAAACCAUAACAGGAGCCCCAACAUUGUUCAACAUGAAGCUGUAUGUUUUGUUGUAAUUUUAGGAAAGAUUGGGUUUUAAAGUAAAAGGUGGCCGGCAGUGGAGACGUGAUUCACUUGCAAGGGUGGGUUGAGAGGUUUGGAUUUUUAAAAUACGUUUCUAACAUGAAAACCUGUCAUCAUCACGGGGAUCAGUUACAACCAGCAUUCAUUUCAGAGGACAAGGCUCACUGCUCUUUAAAAGGACAGAACGUUUUUCAGACGGUAUGUCAAGAUUGAUGAGUUUUGACACUCAGAGAUAUAUUUUGGGUGGAGUAUGCCUUUAAACAAAUGGUGUUUAUUUUCUGUAACCAAGACAUGUUCUUUUAUUGUGGACAAGUAUUCUUCCCAAAAUAAAAGCAUGGCCAGGAUGAUGGGUGCCAGGAGACUGCGUUCUUCGGCCCUCCUGUGUGGAAAAUCAUCGUCUAAAAAUACUGUGUUCCCUCCAUGAAGACUUGUUUUCUUUAGAGUGCUCUGUCUCUCUCCCACUGUCUCCUAAAAACUGCACAAAGGCCUUUAAGAGACACUGCCUUUCUAUUUCUAUAUGCCCUGAUCUCUCCUGCUAUUUCACGAUUUCACAACAGGAUGCUGUGUAAUUUUAGAUGAUGCUAUACAAGUGUGGGUUUCUAAAAUGU